UCGACGUAACGUAUCACGUGUGUAAAAAUGGCGGCUUGCAGUGGCAGGUCGUGGGUAGUGAAAUACAACUGUAUAUUCUGACUUUGACUUUCUGUUUGUUUAGUUUCGAGAUUAUUUUUUUACGUAUUUUUAAACGCGGUUCGGCUUAAUGACAUGUGGCAGCAUUAGCGGUUGAAUGAGCGGUUUAAACUUGCAGUAGCUGCUGUCAGAAGCAGCUGUGGGCUACUCGAGUGUUUUUAAGUAGGAGAGAAGAUGUUUUCACCUUGUUGGUCACGACUGUCCUGCGUGGCUUUGUCCAGCCGAGGAGGUCUGAGGACGCUGAGUCUGUUCUCCAGCUCUGGAUCCUCAAACUGGAGCAAAGUUGUCUCCGAUGCUGAGAAGAUCGUGGGAUAUCCGACUUCCUUCAUGAGCCUCCGCUGCCUCCUCAGUGACGAGCUCAGUAACGUUGCCAUGCACCUGAGGAAGUUGGUCGGCACUCAGCACCCUCUCCUCAACACUGCCAGAGGCUUCGUCUAUGACAGUAAGAACAACCUUCAGAUGAGGGGACUGGUUGUCCUGCUGCUGUCUAAAGCCGCAGGGCCAAGCCACGCCGCCUCCGAUCUCCUAGCCCAAGACAUGGUCAGCGGCAUCUACCCCAGUCAGAGGAACCUGGCAGAAAUCACAGAGUUGAUCCAUACAGCCUUCCUGGUGCAUCGUGGGAUUGUUAACUUGAAGGAGUGGACGGACUCAGACGGCCCGCUGAAGGACAUGCAGUUUGGGAAUAAGAUGGCUGUUCUGAGCGGCGACUUUCUGCUGGCCAAUGCUUGCACGGGACUGGCCCAGCUCAACAACACUAAGGUCGUUGAAUUGAUCUCCAGUGCCAUUGGUGAUUUGGUUCAAGGAGUCUAUUAUGAGAAUUCCCACAAUACAGAGGAGAACGGCCUCACCGACGGCAUCGACGUGGCGGCGUGGGAGGAGCAGACGUUCCUGUCUCAUGGGGCGCUGCUAGCCAAGAGCUGUCAAGCUGCGAUGGAGCUCGCCAAACACGACAAAGAGUCUCAAAGACUGGCCUACAAGUACGGCAAACACCUGUCGCUGGGCCACAAGCUGAACUCUGACCUGCAGCCGUUUAUGAAGAGCAGAGUAGGAGAGCCGCUGUCAUUUAGUCUGAGCGCCGCCCCGGUCGUUUUCCACCGUCAAAUUAUGGGCCGGGAGACGUGGCAUCAUCAGCUGCAGCAGGCAAAAACUUUGAGAAACCAGCUGGAUUACUCAAAGGAGACUCAAGGCGGCAAAGACAGACAAAUCUUGUUCGGAGCAUGAAGAAAGAACAGGAUGUGGAACCAAACAUAACGCGCAAACAGAGGAGGGAGGGAGGAAACGUUAAAAACUAAUGCCGAAUUAAACAAGCUUUUGGCAGCGGUUAAAUCGGAGAAAGGCGUGAGCACAGCGAUGGACUUGUGCUGUUACCAUGGCAACAAGGCUCUGGAGGCCAUCCAGGCUUUCCCCUCCUCCGAGGCUCGAUCCGCCUUGGAGAACAUCGCCUCUGCCGUCACCAAAUUUUGACCUGGACACACACACACACACUCCUGUACAGCCUGGAGGGGUCUUUGUCUGCAGAGGCCAAAGAACGAGAACAGAUUAACUUUGUUUUACUCGAUCCAGAUGCUGAGAAACUGUUCUGCUCUCUGGUCAUCAUUAAAUAAAAAAGUUUUUUUUAAAAACCCCACAUUA
Haplochromis burtoni (Burton's mouthbrooder) is the source of this 1710-nucleotide RNA transcript. It is a transcript of the gene named prenyl (decaprenyl) diphosphate synthase, subunit 2, with no coding region annotated. NCBI's taxonomy places the organism in Eukaryota, Metazoa, Chordata, Actinopteri, Cichliformes, Cichlidae. The transcript is spliced from 9 exons. The record is from RefSeq and is a predicted model, not a curated record.